RNAcentral lists this ribosomal RNA (253 nucleotides) under uncultured bacterium. RNAcentral describes it as "partial 16S ribosomal RNA". It matches the Rfam family "Bacterial small subunit ribosomal RNA", at positions 524 to 776 of the family's 1533-position model. The record is from RNAcentral.
UACGGAGGGUGCAAACGUUGCUCGGAAUUAUUGGGCGUAAAGCGCACGUAGGCGGUUCGUUAUGUCGGAUGUGAAAGCCCUCGGCUUAACCGAGGAAGUGCAUCCGAAACUGGCGAGCUUGAGUACGGAAGGGGGUCUCGGAAUUCCCGGUGUAGAGGUGAAAUUCGUAGAUAUCGGGAGGAACACCAGUGGCGAAGGCGGAGACCUGGGCCGAUACUGACGCUGAGGUGCGAAAGCGUGGGGAGCAAACAGG